Molecule: long non-coding RNA, 213 nt
Filed under: Elaeis guineensis (African oil palm)
Lineage: Eukaryota; Viridiplantae; Streptophyta; Magnoliopsida; Arecales; Arecaceae
Description: long non-coding RNA (EGUI_LNC070921)
Source: RNAcentral
AUUCCCUCCAACCUUUGAGUGAUUUGGACUUAAAGCUAGCCAUUUGUGACCGUUGGAGGUGGAAACUAGCCGUUAGAAAUUUUUUCUGAUCGAAAAAUCAUAUAUGAAAAAUUAUCUGUUGAAACUGUCAGACAUUGUCGAGUCAGCUCAGAUUGACCUCGAGUCGGCUCGAACAGUAUUUCUCAAAAUUUCAACAUUCUGUUUGAUUGAGAG